This 610-nucleotide ribosomal RNA is filed under the name Micromonospora sp. Ri3Pt_4355. RNAcentral's name for it is "bacterial SSU rRNA". It matches the Rfam family "Bacterial small subunit ribosomal RNA", at positions 401 to 1019 of the family's 1533-position model. Lineage: Bacteria; Bacillati; Actinomycetota; Actinomycetes; Micromonosporales; Micromonosporaceae. The record is from RNAcentral.
GAGGGAUGACGGCCUUUACGGGUCUGUAAACCUCUUUCAGCAGGGACGAAGCGCAAGUGACGGUACCUGCAGAAGAAGCACCGGCCAACUACGUGCCAGCAGCCGCGGUAAGACGUAGGGUGCGAGCGUUGUCCGGAUUUAUUGGGCGUAAAGAGCUCGUAGGCGGCUUGUCGCGUCGACCGUGAAAACUUGGGGCUCAACCCCAAGCCUGCGGUCGAUACGGGCAGGCUAGAGUUCGGUAGGGGAGACUGGAAUUCCUGGUGUAGCGGUGAAAUGCGCAGAUAUCAGGAGGAACACCGGUGGCGAAGGCGGGUCUCUGGGCCGAUACUGACGCUGAGGAGCGAAAGCGUGGGGAGCGAACAGGAUUAGAUACCCUGGUAGUCCACGCUGUAAACGUUGGGCGCUAGGUGUGGGGGGCCUCUCCGGUUCUCUGUGCCGCAGCUAACGCAUUAAGCGCCCCGCCUGGGGAGUACGGCCGCAAGGCUAAAACUCAAAGGAAUUGACGGGGGCCCGCACAAGCGGCGGAGCAUGCGGAUUAAUUCGAUGCAACGCGAAGAACCUUACCUGGGUUUGACAUGGCCGCAAAACUUCCAGAGAUGGGAGGUCCUUC